This 294-nucleotide ribosomal RNA is filed under the name uncultured Pseudomonas sp. RNAcentral's name for it is "partial 16S ribosomal RNA". It matches the Rfam family "Bacterial small subunit ribosomal RNA", at positions 1089 to 1382 of the family's 1533-position model. Lineage: Bacteria; Pseudomonadati; Pseudomonadota; Gammaproteobacteria; Pseudomonadales; Pseudomonadaceae. The record is from RNAcentral.
GUAACGAGCGCAACCCUUGUCCUUAGUUACCAGCACGUUAUGGUGGGCACUCUAAGGAGACUGCCGGUGACAAACCGGAGGGAAGGUGGGGAUGACGUCAAGUCAUCAUGGCCCUUACGGCCUGGGCUACACACGUGCUACAAUGGUCGGUACAAAGGGUUGCCAAGCCGCGAGGUGGAGCUAAUCCAUAAAACCGAUCGUAGUCCGGAUCGCAGUCUGCAACUCGACUGCGUGAAGUCGGAAUCGCUAGUAAUCGUGAAUCAGAAUGUCACGGUGAAUACGUUCCCGGGCCUU